GCGACAAUAUCGAACAAGCCUCUUUCUGUUUAUAAAGCUCGCUGAAAUCACUCAAUUUUAAGCGGAAAUAAUAAUGUGUUACUGUUAUUAACUAAAUUUUGUAGUUAACUCAUACCCCCAAAAAAUGUUUUGUUUAUUUCUAGAGCACUAGGAAUAUUUUUGAUCGUGGUGGCUCGAAGAUUUACAUUAUUUUGUGAGCAUAUCAUGGGGAAUUGUCGUUGUAUUUUAUUACCAGAAUACAGUUUACAAAAUAAAAAAUGUGUUUACAUAGUUAAAUAUGAAACAGCGAGACUCCUGCGAGAUACAUAUAAAGUACUGUACCUGUACUAUGAGAUUUCAAACGCGUAUUGUUUUGAAUGUCUGAGGCGGAAGUAAAAUGUUGAGCUGAAAUGUAAUGUCCAAAAUCGUCCAAGUUAGUGAUACUUACCUCUUCUAUCAAAUGGGACUUUUCGGGAUUGGAGUGUCGUGACAUUCCACCGAGGAGAUGAUGGACCCGCCCCACGUCGACAUGUCAAGCGAGGACCCAGCAAGGCCCGUGAAUCCUGGGACUUUCCUAGCCAGCCAAUGCGGGAAGAGCGGCCACGCGCAGGCCAGAGUUGGCGUGGACUUCCCAGUGUUUGUGGUUCUUCCUGCCGGUGGGAGCGGAGAGAGGACCGGACUGCAGACACCCAAACAGUUUUGCUUGUUACUGGGUCGACCGCUUAUAAGCUACACCAUUCAGGCUUUUGAGAGGGUAUCAUGGAUCCACAGCAUUGUGGUUGUCGUGCCCAAAGAAAACAUGGACCUGAUGGCGGCCAUCAUUGGGCGCUUCCGGCACGACAAGGUCCGGGUGGUGCCGGGCGGCUCCACGCGUCACAGGUCCAUUUGCAAUGGCGUCAUGGCUCUGGGUGAGGUAGAGGAGGAGGAGGCAAAAGAGGAGAAGGAGAACAAGGUGGUCAUCAUUCAUGACGCCGUGCGACCUUUUGUUGAGGAGGACCUACUGUAUCGGGUAACCAUGGCUGCCCAAGAACAUGGAGCUUCGGGGGCCAUCCGACCGCUCGUCUCCACGGUGAUCGGCACCACAUCGGAGGGCUUCCUUGACCACUCGCUGGAGCGAGCCAAGUACAGAGCCAGCGAGAUGCCUCAGGCCUUCAUGUACAGCAUCAUCCAGAGAGCCUACAAGAGGUGCACCGAGGCCGACUUUGACUUUGGUACCGAGUGUCUCCAUCUGGUGCUGCAGUACUGUGGCACAAACGCCAAGCUCAUCGAGGGCCCGCCCACGUUGUGGAAGCUCACCUACAAAAGGGAUUUGGCUGCUGCAGAGUCAGUCAUUAAAGACACAUUAUCUCAGUCAGCCUGCAUGAUCACAGGUGGAUGUUCGCAUGCUAGGAUGCUGGCCGACUCCCUCUACAAGGCCUUUUGUAACCUAGAAAUGGAGCUGGAUAUCAUCCCAGAUGUGAGAGGAGACAACGGCUCCAGGAUCAAGGCCUGGAACUUCAUCCAAUUUUCUAUGAAUGACUCUGAUUUGGAUAAAGUGGAGGCCACGUUUGCGGCUGUGGAGGGGACUAAUCAAACGCUUCUCCACCCAGUGGUUGUCAUUGUGGUCCAUUUAAGAACUUUGGAUCGAUGUGCAGCCGAGCCGACUGCCUUUGCAGAAUUGGCCUCGGCAGCCAAGCUCCGGAAUAUUCUCUUGUAUGGCAUCCAUCUGCAACAGUCGAAGUAAUUCUACCCUGGAGAUCACAUUUUCAAGACGGACUGCUGAGUAUUUGUGUGCCACCGUGCAAACGAAGACUUGAUUCAAUAAGACCCCACUUUGAAGCUUGAUUCAAAGGCUUCGUGUCUAUCUGGAGUAGAAGGAAUUGAACGUGGACUGUAAACUUUCUCUGAUCCUCCCUGGAUGCCGAGCAUUGGGCAAGGUCUUUGUCCAAAGCAGCAGAGUUGACAUCAGCUUUGAUUCGGGAGCGGAGUGAGGCCUUGGUGGGUCAACUUCUACAAACGUGACGCCACAAAAAAUCAUUUUAAGUAGGCUCCACUAUCAAAUGGACUGAAAGGCGCAAGCUGUCCUAAGCCCGCCUAGACAUCUUGAUGUUUUUUUUUUUUUUUUAUUAUUAUUAUUUCAAAAGCUCACCGCGACUAAUAAAUUGGCUUGUACAUGUGGAAUUGUCGGAAUGUCCCUUUAAUAUUCUCCUGACUGAUGCUUUUAUUUAUUUUUUUUUAAGAGUGCUUGUUAAAAGUAAAGCUGAUUUUUCAUCA
This is an RNA transcript of Phyllopteryx taeniolatus (common seadragon), 2232 nucleotides long. It is a transcript of the gene named CDP-L-ribitol pyrophosphorylase A, with no coding region annotated. The transcript is spliced from 11 exons. NCBI's taxonomy places the organism in Eukaryota, Metazoa, Chordata, Actinopteri, Syngnathiformes, Syngnathidae. The record is from RefSeq and is a predicted model, not a curated record.